Molecule: unclassified non-coding RNA, 373 nt
Filed under: soil metagenome
Description: partial contains internal transcribed spacer 2 and large subunit ribosomal RNA
Rfam family: 5.8S ribosomal RNA (bases 1-120)
Source: RNAcentral
GAUGAAGAACGUAGCGAAAUGCGAUAAUUAAUGUGAAUUGCAGAAUUCCGUGAAUCAUCGAGUCUUUGAACGCACAUUGCGCCUCAUGGCAUUCCGUGAGGCAUGCCCAUCUCAGCGUUAGAAAAUAUUCUCAAAUUUUAGUUUUGUGCUAAAAUUUGGAUCAUGUCAAGGAAGCUAUUACUAUUAUUGUGAUCGCUCUUUGGAAAUUGAUAGGUCUUUGAGUUGCUACUCAUAGAACGUGAUGAAUCUUUCUUCGUUCUAUUGUAAUUCACUCUGGUAGUCCUAAAACUUGUAUGCCUGUGGCAUAUCUUGUAAUUUGACCUGAGAUUGGGUAGGGAUACCCGCUGAACUUAAGCAUAUCAAAAGCGGAGGA